Molecule: long non-coding RNA, 1013 nt
Organism: Haliotis rubra (blacklip abalone)
Lineage: Eukaryota; Metazoa; Mollusca; Gastropoda; Lepetellida; Haliotidae
Exons: 3
Source: RefSeq, a predicted model, not a curated record
UUUCGCAAGCAAACAUUAUUAACGAACAAAGGCGAAGCGCCAACACAUUGAGGGCCGCGGCGACAACAGCGAGAAGCGCAACUUGCAUGAUUUUCACGGACAGCGCAACGCGAGAAAACAGAUCCACUCUUUCUAAAUAUUGACGGUGGGGCUAUACCUCACGACUGCCCCCCACAGCCAGUACAAGUACUGCAGUCUACUUAAACAAGAUCUAAACCCAGAAAAUUCUCCAUCCAGACAAAAGACGUUGACUAACCCGAAGAUAAGUGGUGUACGAUUGAAUACAUCAUCAUCAUACAUUGUACAACACUCACGUCUUCUUCCACACAAGAGGGAUGUUCCAGGUGUGGUCCUCCAGACAACUGAGAUGCAGUGUGUUCCUCCUGACUGGUGGGAUGCAGUUUUCCUCCUGUCUGGUGUGAUGCAGUGUUCCUCCUGACUGAUGGGAUGUAGUGUGUUCCUCCUGUCUGAUGGGAUGUAGUGUGUUCCCCUGUCUGAUGGGAUGCAGUGUGUUCUCUCCGACUGAUGUGAUGCAGUGUGUUCCCCCUGACUGAUGGGAUGCAGUGUGUUCCCCUGUCUGAUGGGAUGCAGUGUGUCCCCCCUGACUGAUGGGAUGCAGUGUGUCCCUCCUGACUGUUGGGAUGCAGUGUGUUCCCCCUGACUGAUGGGAUGCAGUUUGUCCCUCCUGACUGAUGGGAUGCAGUGUGUUCCUCGUGAUUGGUGGGAUGCAGUGUGUUCCUCCUGACUGUUUGGAUGUAGUGUGUUCCCCCUGUCUGAUGGGAUGCAGUGUGUUCCCCCUGACUGAUGGGAUGUAGUGUGUUCCCCUGUCUGAUGGGAUGCAGUGUGUUCCCCCUGACUGUUGGGAUGCAGUGUGUUCCCUCCUGACUGAUGGGAUGCAGUGUGUCCCUCCUGACUGAUGGGAUGCAGUGUGUUCCUCCUGACUGGUGGGAUGCAGUUUGUUCCCCCUGUCUGAUGGGAUGCAGUGUGUUCCCCCUGACUGAUGGGAUGUAGUG